GGCCAGUUAGCUCAGUUGGUUACAGCACGGUGCUAAUAAUGCCAAGGUUGUGGGUUCAAUCCCUGUACAGGCCA
This 74-nucleotide transfer RNA is filed under the name Loxodonta africana (African savanna elephant). It matches the Rfam family "tRNA". Rfam says of the family: Transfer RNA (tRNA) molecules are approximately 80 nucleotides in length. Their secondary structure includes four short double-helical elements and three loops (D, anti-codon, and T loops). Lineage: Eukaryota; Metazoa; Chordata; Mammalia; Proboscidea; Elephantidae. The record is from Rfam by way of RNAcentral.